CUGUACUUUUAUUUUGCCCUGUUGUGCUUAGUUUAUGUCUUGAAAUUUGCUCGUAUUAAAGUACAACAAAUUUCGCUCAACAGCUUAAUGGAGCUUACGUUGUGUAGAAGGUCAUCAGAGGAAGAACAUUGGAAAGAAGGGGAAAAAAAUUCCAAGAGCUCAAAUUACAACUUAAAACGAAGAGUAACAUGGUGA
RNAcentral lists this long non-coding RNA (195 nucleotides) under Monodelphis domestica (gray short-tailed opossum). RNAcentral's name for it is "lncRNA (ENSMODG00000049729.1)". Lineage: Eukaryota; Metazoa; Chordata; Mammalia; Didelphimorphia; Didelphidae. The record is from RNAcentral.